RNAcentral lists this long non-coding RNA (1353 nucleotides) under Salmo salar (Atlantic salmon). RNAcentral describes it as "lncRNA (ENSSSAG00000105226.1)". Lineage: Eukaryota; Metazoa; Chordata; Actinopteri; Salmoniformes; Salmonidae. The record is from RNAcentral.
ACAUGUGGUAUUUACACACAAACAUCUGCCACAAUAAUCAUAUUACUUGUAUUUUUUUAAACAAGCUCCUUAUAAACUGCACAAGUAGCAAUAAAUCACUGAUAUCGAUUAGGGGGGAAAUCAGGUUGUACGUGCUGUUGAAACUAACACAACUAAAAAACACAUGGAAAUGGGAGAUAUAUUUUACCUCACUGGUUAGAGGACAACCUGCAGAAGACAGUCAGCUACAUUUUGGAGUGAUGCAUUUAAAUUUAGGGGUCACUAAACAAAAGAACACAACACUUAUUUGUCAUAACUCAUCGAUAUCAUGUUGAAAUCAUUUGUGCAGAGAGGAGGGAGAUGAGGUUGCACAUCCUGUUAAAACUAACUGCUCAAAAACCACACGGAAUCUGGGAAUAAUGUGUACAUCCCUGGUUAGAGGACAAUUUGUAAAUGCAACACAUUUUGAAGUGUUGCAUUUUGAUUCAAGUGGGUCACCAACGUGGUAAGUGUAACACAACUCUUUUUUUGUUAGUCACUUUUUGUUAAAUCACAUAAAUAGUAACUCUUCCAUUUCAGAGCCUGGAUUUCCCCCCUGAGGCUAAUAUCCAUAUCAUGCUGAAAUCAAUAGAACAGGGGACAAACGUUUAGGGUUCUACAUUGUGACAUCAUUAAAAUACUCCUACUACAAUGUUUAAACAUUCUACAUUGUGACAUUAAUUCAUUGAUAUCAUGAAACAACUCCAUGUAUUUUCUGAUAUUUGAUCAGAGAUCUUUUAUCAGAUUAUCUCUGGUCACAGCCAUGAGAUUUCUCUCCUGUGUGUGUUUUCUGGUGUCUCUUCAGAUGGCCAGAUUGAACAAAACUCUUCCCACAUUGAUCACAGCUAAAAGGUUUCUCUCCUGUGCGUGUUCUCUGGUGGAAUUUCAGGCUGGUUGAUUGAGUAAAACUCUUCCCACAUUCAUCACAGCUAUACGAUUUCUCUCCUGUGUGUGUUCUUUGGUGUACAAUAAGAUGGCUAGAUGUAUCAAAACUCUUCCCACAUUGAGUACAGCAAUAAGCUUUCUCUACUGUGUGGCUUCUCCGAUGAAUUUUAAUGCCUGAUGAGGUGAAUCUCUUCCCACAGUCAGAGAGGUGAAUUAUCUUCCCUGUGGAUCUCUGCGGGUGUUUCUUGAGGUGUUCUGAUCUGGAGAGACUCUUCUCUGCCUCGUCACCAUCAUGAGGUUGUUGAGGCUCCCCAGAGGAUCCACGAUAGUCACGUCUCUCUCCUGUGUGAACAACAAAGUCAUACAGAUGGUUAAAGCCCCACAACAGCAGAAAUCCACUGUAAAAGGUGAUGCCAACAGCGUAGCCAUGUUGUAGUACAACAAUUGACG